GCAGUCGCCGCGGGAAUACGUAGGGUGCGAGCGUUAAUCGGAAUUACUGGGCGUAAAGCGUGCGCAGGCGGUUUUGUAAGACAGGCGUGAAAUCCCCGGGCUCAACCUGGGAAUGGCGCUUGUGACUGCAAAGCUAGAGUGCGGCAGAGGGGGAUGGAAUUCCGCGUGUAGCAGUGAAAUGCGUAGAUAUGCGGAGGAACACCGAUGGCGAAGGCAAUCCCCUGGGCCUGCACUGACGCUCAUGCACGAAAGCGUGGGGAGCAAACAGGAUUAGAGACCCCUGUAGUCCCUGUCUCUUAUAA
This 302-nucleotide ribosomal RNA is filed under the name uncultured bacterium. RNAcentral describes it as "partial 16S ribosomal RNA". It matches the Rfam family "Bacterial small subunit ribosomal RNA", at positions 508 to 809 of the family's 1533-position model. The record is from RNAcentral.